Long non-coding RNA from Portunus trituberculatus (swimming crab), 998 nucleotides. RefSeq lists it as uncharacterized. The transcript is spliced from 2 exons. The record is from RefSeq and is a predicted model, not a curated record. Lineage: Eukaryota; Metazoa; Arthropoda; Malacostraca; Decapoda; Portunidae.
AACUGUGCGCCGGGUUUUUGCUCAGCACCGCUCAGCACCUCCACCGGACCGCCCCCUCCACACCCCCCAGCCACCCCCAGGGAUCAGCACGCCCUUGCAAAUCACCCUCAGGUCCAUCACGUGCCUGUACCAGCCCACGCCUGCACGCCUGCACGCCUGCACGCACAGUCUCAGUGUCCCUGCCGCCCGUGGACCAGCGCGGGCGUGGCUUGGCGUGUCCUGGACGUGAACACAUCGAACACAACAGAACACUUGCGUGGAAAGAAAUUACGAGUGUGUUGGCGUGCGUUUCCCUAAGCCUGUGUGUGCGCGCAUGUGUGUGUCUCCAUGUGCGUGUGUGCGCGGCAUGUAGGGAUCAAAUCUGCCCUGAAAAUGUGUGCGUGUGCGGGUACGUGAGUGUGUGUGUGGGUGUGCGGGAUUGCGUGGGUGUGUGGGUGUGUGUGGGUGUGCUUGCGUGUGUGUGUGUGACUGUCACGUGCAUGGAAGGCUUCAUGAGUAAUAUUGGCCAGUGAAAAACAAGGUAACAGAAAACUGACUUGAAAAUAAUAAGACAAUAAAAUAAAAUAGAAUAAAUAUCAAAGCAACAAACAAAAAUAACGACAUUGUGAAAUUGAAAACAAAGAAAGUCAGGAAGAAAAGAAAAAGAAAGACAAACUUGAAGAACAACAACAACAGCUUAAAAGAAUACAAAAGUACAUCGUGAAAUUGGAACACAAAGAGUCAAGAAAAUUUGUCAAGGGAAAAAAUUGAGAAUAAUUCACGAAAUAUUAGUGAAACAUUUCAGAAGGGGAGAAUUUGAGAAUCACACACGAAACACAAGUAGUGAAACAUUUUACAGAGGAAAAUUUAAGAAUCACACGAAAUAUAACAAGUGAGACAUUAUAGAACACAAAACUGGAAAAGUGUUGAGUGUUCUAACAAAGAGGACAACAAAACUGUAUAUCAUUGAGGCGAACGAAAGUAAUACGAUAAAAACACCAUCGUUUCAGAAAAUAUGA